AGUGAACGCUGGCGGUAGGCCUAACACAUGCAAGUCGAACGGCAGCACAGUAAGAGCUUGCUCUUACGGGUGGCGAGUGGCGGACGGGUGAGGAAUACAUCGGAAUCUACUUUUUCGUGGGGGAUAACGUAGGGAAACUUACGCUAAUACCGCAUACGACCUACGGGUGAAAGCAGGGGAUCUUCGGACCUUGCGCGAUUGAAUGAGCCGAUGUCGGAUUAGCUAGUUGGCGGGGUAAAGGCCCACCAAGGCGACGAUCCGUAGCUGGUCUGAGAGGAUGAUCAGCCACACUGGAACUGAGACACGGUCCAGACACCUACGGGAGGCAGCAGUGGGGAAUAUUGGACAAUGGGCGCAAGCCUGAUCCAGCCAUACCGCGUGGGUGAAGAAGGCCUUCGGGUUGUAAAGCCCUUUUGUUGGGAAAGAAAAGCAGCAGGUUAAUACCCCGCUGUUCUGACGGUACCCAAAGAAUAAGCACCGGCUAACUUCGC
Molecule: ribosomal RNA, 491 nt
Filed under: uncultured bacterium
Lineage: Bacteria
Description: partial 16S ribosomal RNA
Rfam family: Bacterial small subunit ribosomal RNA
Source: RNAcentral